GUCCAGGGGCACCCAUCUCUAUGGAAUAAAAUGCAAGCGGCACCUCCUAGAGUUGUGCAGUGGCCCUGUGCCCAAACCUGGCAUUCAAGCCAUCCCCCAGGAGUAAUCCUAAAAGCACAUUCUUGAGGCUGACCUGGGUGGGUAAUGGAGGCGGUGACUGAGAAAACAUUGUUUCUCUAUAUGCAGCCAAGUCGCCCCUAUAGAACUCAACCCCCAGAUCCUGGCUCAAUCAACUCUGCUCUAAGGAUCUCAUUCUGCUAACAAAGGUCCAGAGAAGGAAGGAGUCACAUGUUUCUCAGAGGAUACGUGGAUAACAAAAACAACGCCAUCCAGUUUGCCAAAACAAAGUCUCCCUGUGGCCCUGCUGUCACUUUCCAAGCUACAGACAAGUGCCUUUUUCCCCCUAACUCUCAACUCAGCAUUGUGGGAACUAAACAUCACAAUCAGCUUCAGGAGCCUCACUGUUGCCAUGGGUUACAUGAAUUCAAAUCUAAGGAUGGAACCAAAACAGGCCCUUAAAUAUCAGCCCUCGAGUGGGAGGUGAAAUGAAGUGCUCUAACACCUUAAAGGAAAACAGGAGACGCGUGGCAAGGGGGCUUGCAAGUCUUGGCGGAUACCCAGAGAAAUAAGAACGAAUGUCUGAAACUAGACCUGCGCCGUCCAAUGAUAGCCACUGGCCACAGGCGGCCAUUAAGCACUUGAAACAUGGCUAGUCUGAUUUAAGAUGUGCUAUAAGCGUAAAACCCACACCAGAUGGCAAAGACUCAGGAUGAAAAAGGAAUGUAAAAGUCACUUUAAUAAUUUUAGGUUAUUUUGUACAGUAGUCACUGUAUUGGGUUAUCUUAAAUAUACCAUAUAGUGAGUUAUCAUACAGAACUAAAUAAAUCGGGUUAAAUAAAAU
RNAcentral lists this long non-coding RNA (901 nucleotides) under Homo sapiens (human). RNAcentral describes it as "non-protein coding lnc-SOD1-2:1". The record is from RNAcentral. Lineage: Eukaryota; Metazoa; Chordata; Mammalia; Primates; Hominidae.